This 492-nucleotide ribosomal RNA is filed under the name uncultured bacterium. RNAcentral's name for it is "partial 16S ribosomal RNA". It matches the Rfam family "Bacterial small subunit ribosomal RNA", at positions 29 to 507 of the family's 1533-position model. The record is from RNAcentral.
AGUGAACGCUGGCGGUAGGCCUAACACAUGCAAGUCGAACGGCAGCACAGUAAGAGCUUGCUCUUACGGGUGGCGAGUGGCGGACGGGUGAGGAAUACAUCGGAAUCUACUUUUUCGUGGGGGAUAACGUAGGGAAACUUACGCUAAUACCGCAUACGACCUACGGGUGAAAGCAGGGGAUAUUCGGACCUUGCGCGAUUGAAUGAGCCGAUGUCGGAUUAGCUAGUUGGCGGGGUAAAGGCCCACCAAGGCGACGAUCCGUAGCUGGUCUGAGAGGAUGAUCAGCCACACUGGAACUGAGACACGGUCCAGACUCCUACGGGAGGCAGCAGUGGGGAAUGUUGGACAAUGGGCGCAAGCCUGAUCCAGCCAUACCGCGUGGGUGAAGAAGGCCUUCGGGUUGUAAAGCCCUUUUGUUGGGAAAGAAAAGCAGCAGGUUAAUACCCCGCUGUUCUGACGGUACCCAAAGAAUAAGCACCGGCUAACUUCGUG